GACGAACGCUGGCGGCGUGCUUAACACAUGCAAGUCGAACGGACAGGCCCUGCUUUUGUGGGGUGCUCGAGUGGCGAACGGGUGAGUAAAACGCGAGUAAACUGCCCUUGACUUUGGGAUAACUUCAGGAAACUGGGGCGCAUACCGGAUAGGAGCUCCUGCUGCAUGGUGGGGGUUGGAAAGUUUCGGCGGUUGGGGAUGGACUCGCGGGUUAUCAGCUUGUUGGUGGGGUAGUGGCUUACCAAGGCUUUGACGGGUAGCCGGCCUGAGAGGGUGACCGGCCACAUUGGGACUGAGAUACGGCCCAGACUCCUACGGGAGGCAGCAGUGGGGAAUCUUGCAGAAUGGGCGGAAGCCUGAUGCAGCAACGCCGCGUGCGUGAUGACGGCUUACGGGUUGUAAACCGCUUUGGCCUGUGACGAAGCGUGAGUGACGGUAAUGGGUAAGGAAGCACCGGCUAACUACGUG
This 468-nucleotide ribosomal RNA is filed under the name uncultured bacterium. RNAcentral describes it as "partial 16S ribosomal RNA". It matches the Rfam family "Bacterial small subunit ribosomal RNA", at positions 28 to 507 of the family's 1533-position model. The record is from RNAcentral.